UCCCGUGUGGCUCAGUUGAUAGAGCAUGGCGCUUGCAACGUCAGGGUUGGGAGUUCAAUUCCCACAGAGGAC
Salmo salar (Atlantic salmon) is the source of this 72-nucleotide non-coding RNA. Lineage: Eukaryota; Metazoa; Chordata; Actinopteri; Salmoniformes; Salmonidae. The record is from Rfam.